RNAcentral lists this ribosomal RNA (138 nucleotides) under uncultured eukaryote. RNAcentral describes it as "partial 18S ribosomal RNA". It matches the Rfam family "Eukaryotic small subunit ribosomal RNA", at positions 1299 to 1458 of the family's 1831-position model. The record is from RNAcentral.
UGGUGGAGUGAUUUGUCUGGUUAAUUCCGUUAACGAACGAGAUCUUGGCCUACUAAAUAGUUUUCUCAGUUAUGACUGCAGGGGACUUCUUAGGGGGACUGCGUAGGUUUUACUGCGAUGAAGAACGAGGCAAUAACA